Anguilla rostrata (American eel) is the source of this 1071-nucleotide long non-coding RNA. RefSeq lists it as uncharacterized. NCBI's taxonomy places the organism in Eukaryota, Metazoa, Chordata, Actinopteri, Anguilliformes, Anguillidae. The record is from RefSeq and is a predicted model, not a curated record. The transcript has 4 exons.
GACCCCGUCUCUCGCCCCGCCGUGUCCGUGGUCUCCUGCGAGUGCGGGCGAGCGAGCCUCAGGUGUGAGGUGGAGAGGGGGGACAACGUGUCCUUCCGGUGGGCUGUCCCGGGGGGGUCCGCGAACGCCAGUCUCGGGGCGGGCGCCCUGCUCUCCGUGGAGGUCGGCGACCGGCGGGAGCUGGUCUGCGUGGCCAGCAACGGGGUCAGCGCGGAGACCAGCGACCCCCUCAAACCCGACUGUCCCGAUGCCGUAACACCAUAUCGGGUAUCUGAAACAGAGGCAACUGAAGGUUACAAAAAUUAUGCAAGACUUAAAUUAUGCAUCGAGUUAUUGCUCGGUGCCUGUGGAGUUUCUCUUGCCAUCCUGUUUGCCAUCUUGUGCAUCGCCAGCAGGGACAGGGAGGGACCCAACACAGAGCGUGGCCCAUCUCCGGAGGAAACUGACGUGGUUUAUUCUCGGGUCCGCAUUACGAACAGAGACAAAUAAGGUACCCCUGGAGAAGGAUGUGGUUCAGCCUAAACUCUGUCCACAAUAAUCAUGCUCUCCACUUUCCGUUAGGAUUUGCACGUGUUACAAAGACCUCUUUCAAGCCCCGUUCUGCAUUGUGCUUUACUUACAUUUUUUAUCCAGUUAUCAACAUCACUUGUUUGUCAGACAUGUGGAAAUUUACAAAAAUGUGCCUUUAUUGCAUCCACUUCUCAAAGUCAAGGUCAAAGUACAUUGUGGGUAGUCUGAAGAUGUCAAGGAUACUUAGUACGUUUACAGUGAAUGGACUUCCAUAGGAUUGUGCAAGUCUUUUUUUUUUUUACUAGACUACUGUACCUGAUCAGUGCUAGAAUGUGUUAAUCCAGUGCCUUGGGAGUUUCAUGAAUAUUUUUUCAACUUGACAUGUAGCAGAAAGUCUGGAUUCACUCAACAAUUGUUCACAACCUUGACUUAUAAAUAAAUGUAUAUAAAUAAAAUAGGUUUUUUACAGUGUAAACAUACCGUUUUCCUUCAUUUUGUAAUUAUUGAACUCAACAUAUUGUUGUUAUUAAAAAUAAAUAAGAUCCAUGCAUUGAAAUGUGA